AUCCGGCUGACAAGUCUCAAAUAGGACGAAACAUGUGUCCUGGAU
RNAcentral lists this non-coding RNA (45 nucleotides) under Schistosoma mattheei. Lineage: Eukaryota; Metazoa; Platyhelminthes; Trematoda; Strigeidida; Schistosomatidae. The record is from RNAcentral.